GAUGAACGCUGGCGGCGUGCCUAAUACAUGCAUGUCGAGCGAACAGACGAGGAGCUUGCUCCUCUGACGUUAGCGGCGGACGGGUGAGUAACACGUGGAUAACCUACCUAUAAGACUGGGAUAACUUCGGGAAACCGGAGCUAAUACCGGAUAAUAUAUUGAACCGCAUGGUUCAAUAGUGAAAGACGGUUUUGCUGUCACUUAUAGAUGGAUCCGCGCCGCAUUAGCUAGUUGGUAAGGUAACGGCUUACCAAGGCGACGAUGCGUAGCCGACCUGAGAGGGUGAUCGGCCACACUGGAACUGAGACACGGUCCAGACUCCUACGGAGGCAGCAGUAGGGAAUCUUCCGCAAUGGGCGAAAGCCUGACGGAGCAACGCCGCGUGAGUGAUGAAGGUCUUCGGAUCGUAAAACUCUGUUAUUAGGGAAGAACAAAUGUGUAAGUAACUAUGCACGUCUUGACGGUACCUAAUCAGAAAGCCACGGCUAACUACGUG
Molecule: ribosomal RNA, 496 nt
Filed under: uncultured bacterium
Lineage: Bacteria
Description: partial 16S ribosomal RNA
Rfam family: Bacterial small subunit ribosomal RNA
Source: RNAcentral